AACGCGCAACAAGAUCGGUCAGGACAGUCAAGACUUUAUUAAAGAGCACUAUUACAACAAUUGUUGGGAACAAUCCAACCCAUCUGCUCCUUAUAUACCGAGUUCCCUUUUGAUGUGCAGCUCCUUCCCGCAGGCACGCGAUGGUUACAUGGUCCUAUAACAAUCAUGGAUCGAUCACCACUGGAAGCCGCACGUUAACAAAUACAUUUCAAUCACACCCAGUGGGAGACAGAGUCUGAAGAAGGGUCUUGACCCGAAAUGUCACCCUUUCCUUCUGGAUGUUUUCAAGGGAGAGUUGGAUAUAGUUCUUAGGGCUAAUGGAAUCAAGUGAUGUGAAAAAAAAGCAGGAACUGGGGUACUGAUUUUGGAUGAUCAGCCAUGAUCACAUUGAAUGGUGGUGCUGGCUCCAAGGGCCGAAUGGCACCUGUUUUCUAUGUUUAUCUGCAGUGAUGCUGCCUGGUUCCGCUGAGUUACACGAACGUUUUGUGUCCAUCUUUGGGGAGACCGCGAGAUGUCUUGUUACCUGUUAGAUCUCAUUUUAUUGUAAUUGCCAUCUGUUCUUUCACAACUACCUUACGACAAGUUUCUCUCCCAGGGAAGGGGUAUCAACAAACGGAGGGCACAGGUUUAAGGCGAGGGGAAUGGUUUAACAGAUACCUGGCUGGCAACCUUUCCUUACUUUUCCUUACUGUAAUGGGGUGACCAGAACUGCACACAAUACCCCAAAUGUGGCCAAACCAAAUUCCUGUGAAGCUGCAGGGAGAAAGAUUUACAGCUAUUGGACAAACUUUGAUGGUGGGUGUAUGGAACGAGCUUCCAGAGUUGGUAGUUGACGCUGGUGCUAUAACUGCAUUUAAAAUAAUUUGCAUUGGCACACGUUCAGGAAAAGUUUAGAGGGAUAGCGGGCAGUUGGGACUAGCGAAGAUGAGGCAUCUUGGUUGGCAUGGACGAGUUGGGCCGAAGGGCCUGAUUCUGUGCUGAAUGACUUAUGGGACUGAUCCACUUUAAGGGACCAGUGAAGGUAGUAGUUCCAACGGCUCCAGGGGACCGGGUUUCCAUCCUGACCUUGUGCUGUCUGUGUGGAGCUUGCAUGUGUCUCCCUGUCACUACGGGGGUUUCCCCUGGGUGCUCAACUUCCCCCCCCCCCCCCGUGCAGGUGGGUGCCAGGAGAAGUGGCAAAUGAUGCAAACAUCUACAGGUGUACGGUAGAGAGGACAUACACUGGUCACAUCACGGCCUGGUUCAGUAACUCGAAUGCCCAGGAGCGAAGGAGACCACAGAGAGUGGUGGACAAUGGGCCAUCACAGGUACUGACCAUCAAAGGGAUCUACACGAAGUGCUGUCUCACAAAGACAUCUAGCAUCAUCAAAGACCCACACCACCCUGGCCACGCUCGCUGCUACCAUCGGGAAGAAGGUACAGGAGCCUGAAAACCGCGACCUCCAGGUUCAAGAACAGCUUCUUCCCAGCAACCAUUAGGCUCUUGAACACUGCACAACACUAACCUCAGCAACUGCGAUCGUUUACAGACUGUCUCUGGUUGCACUAUGGACAUUGGUUUCGAACUAUUAUGGUUACCUAAUAUCACUGUUAUUAAUUUAUUGUAUUGAUAAUUAUAAUAUUUAUCUGUGUUGUGUUAACGGGCCAGUUAAGCUGCAGCAAGUAAGGAUUUCAUUGUUCAGUUGGUACAUAAGACAAUUAAACACUUGAACGUGUGAGAGAGAGUCGGUUAUAGGGGUAAACUCAUGAGACAGCGUGUCGGACGGAACUGCAGAUACUGGUUUAUACCGAAGAUAGACACAAAGUGCUGGAGUAACGCAGCGGGUCAGGCAGCAUCUCUGGAGAUAAGGGAUGGGUGACGUUUCAGGUCGGGGGGAGUGCAAGUGGGAAAAGACCAGAUCAAAUCAUGCCGGCAAUAGAUGAACAAGGGAGGAUGGAGCCCACAAUGGUCCAUUGUUGGCUGUGGAAGAGGUGAUAACGAAGGGAUACAGGAAUGUGAACCGUAGAACUGGUGGGGUGGGGGGACGACGACUAGGAUGAGGGAGGAAUUGCUGGAUGACUAGGGUGGGACUGCGAGGGGAAAUGAGUGCUACGAACGCUAGUGUAGGUUUGAUCAUAGAAUUUAACUAAACUAGACUCAGGCAUCAUUCAUUGGUCUGCUGUGAAUCGCACGGUGGGCAAAGUGCCCACUAGGUGGCACAUUAGUACAACACGGCCACAGCCAGAUAUAGCGGCUGUUGGGCUACGUGUGAGUGACGUGCUGUGAGCAGAUUGGCAUUGUUACAAUAGCACCCUUAUUCCCACACAGUUGCUGCAGUGGGACAUUAUCUGCAUGCCAUUUCAGACCUGCCAGGAAUUGCAGCCACAUCCAUCAAGAUGCCUUCAGCUGGACGAUGUUUUAAUUAGAAACAAGGAACUGCAGGUGCUGGUUUACGGGGCGGCGGCAAAAGGUCCAGGAGUAACUUAGGGGGUCAGGCAGCAUCUCUGGAGAGAAGGGAUAGAUGACCGUGUGUAGGAAGGCACUGCAGAUGCUGGUUCAUACCAAACGAAGAUGGACACAAAGUGCUGGAGUAACUGCGGGUCAGGCAGCAUCUCUGGAGCAAAGGGAUGGGUGGGGUUUCGGGUCGGAGCUUUUCUUCAGCCUGAAAGUGGAGGGGGGAUCUGGGGUGAGGAAAAGGCCAGAACACAUCAUGCUCGAGGCCCACUUUUUGGUCUUUCAUUGGACUUUGUCCCGCAAUCUGCCGAUUAAAACCCCUCUCCUGUAUCCACCACUUAUUCACCUGGCUUUGCCUUGACCUCUCUUACAGUUUCACCCCCACCAUCCUUUACUCCAUCUCUUUACUUCACUCCCUCUCUUUACUCCAUCUGUCUGAAGAAGGGUCCCGACUCGAAACGUUACCUGUCCAUGUUCUCCAGAGAUGCUGCCUGACCCGCUGAGUUUCUCCAGCACGUUGUGUCUGUCUGGUAUAAACCAGCAUUUCCCAGUUCCUUCCUACACACGGAGCAGAGAAUGAGAUGGCAUUUUGUGUCGGUGAUAUUUUUAAUUAGCCUGCAAUCAUCAUGGGUCAAAUCAAGUUGAGACAAUCGUCCUAUGCACCUGUAUUCCCACUUUUCUCAACAACUUUAUUGACCAAAAAUCUCAAGUCACAUGUUUAAAAUUGGCAAUGGUAUGGUGAGGUACAGGUACAAUGAAAAUACUGCUUGCAGCGGCAUCACAGGCACAUGGACCUAGGCAACACAGACAUAAAUCAUACAUAUAUUACAGGUCCAUCACCAAUUUUCCGUCAACUGAUGGUCCGGCAUCCUUUAAGCCGGACAAAAUUAUGAGAAUGCUCUUGAAAUCCCCCCGAAAAUGUGGCGCCCAGGCCGACCUCGUCCUCAUCGGGACUUCCACGCUGGGCAACAAGUUGAAUUUGCUCCCUGCGGCCGGGGCUGUGGAACUCCAGCCUGGCCGGAGUCGGCAGAUUCGUUCCCAUAGAUGACUUCCGAGGCCAAUUUUGCAUGCCGGUAUCUCGGUCCCCCCAGCAGCCUAGGCUGUUCGGCACCGUUUGACUCCUGUCGGAAGCCGUGAACUCCGUGAUGUCUGACUUCAGGCAGCGAGAAGAAGCAUGGCCCGGAUUGUGAAGAUCCUUGAUGGCAGAUGCUGCCUUCUUGGGGCAGUGCCUGGCGUAGAUGCUUUCAACAGUGGGGUGGACCGGGCUGUGUCCACCUGCUGCCUCCUGUGUUCCUGUGCGUUGGAAUUGCCAUACCAGGCCAAGUUUGGAACUGCACAAACAGCACCUGUUGCUAAUCGUAACACUGAGACUUGGGGGUAAUAACGUUAUUGAGGGACAUUGGGAAAAGUGGGAGUGUGCAGCGAGGUACAGGCGGGGCUGACGAACCAGGUUCAAGCGUCUUCUUUUGUACCAAUCAGUAAAGACAUUGAAAACGUGAUGAGCGGCCAGAUUCCCCAGCUGAUUCAGAUCGAUGCUUAACAACGGCCUACAGGUCACCCAGGGAAAUGCAAUGGUUUUUGCAACAGUCUCAUUGAUUGUGUUCAUCUUCUUUUGGCCACAUCAGCUGGGUACGUGUGUUUGUUCGAGUAUAUGUUCGUUUGAGUGUGUGUUCACGAGAGUGUGUUUAUAGGUGUGCUUAUCUGUUCGUCUUUGUGUAUGGUUAUAUAUGUGAGACUUGUUUGUAUAUCUAUGUGUGACUGUUUCUUUUGUAUAUAUGUAUGUGUGCGUUUUUAUUGUAUUGUGUGUGUGCGCGCACAUUUUCACAUAUUACGUUUCUGUGUUUAUAUGCAUGUGUGUUUUGAUGAAUUAUAUGUGUGCAGUAAUUAUAAAUAAAUUUGUAUUUUUAGUUA
Amblyraja radiata (thorny skate) is the source of this 4345-nucleotide long non-coding RNA. RefSeq lists it as uncharacterized. The record is from RefSeq and is a predicted model, not a curated record. The transcript has 2 exons. NCBI's taxonomy places the organism in Eukaryota, Metazoa, Chordata, Chondrichthyes, Rajiformes, Rajidae.